Molecule: ribosomal RNA, 253 nt
Filed under: uncultured bacterium
Lineage: Bacteria
Description: partial 16S ribosomal RNA
Rfam family: Bacterial small subunit ribosomal RNA
Source: RNAcentral
UACGUAGGUGGCGAGCGUUGUCCGGAUUUACUGGGCGUAAAGAGCGCGCAGGCGGUCGUACAAGUCGCGUGUGAAAGCCCCCGGCUCAACUGGGGAGGGUCACGCGAUACUGUUCGACUCGAGGGCAGGAGAGGGUAGUGGAAUUCCCGGUGUAGUGGUGAAAUGCGUAGAUAUCGGGAGGAACACCAGUGGCGAAGGCGACUACCUGGCCUGUUCUUGACGCUGAGGCGCGAAAGCUAGGGUAGCAAACGGG